CAGCCGCCGCGGUAAUACGUAGGGUGCGAGCGUUAAUCGGAAUUACUGGGCGUAAAGCGUGCGCAGGCGGUUGUGUAAGACAGGUGUGAAAUCCCCGGGCUUAACCUGGGAACUGCGCUUGUGACUGCACAGCUAGAGUAUGGCAGAGGGGGGUGGAAUUCCACGUGUAGCAGUGAAAUGCGUAGAGAUGUGGAGGAGCACCGAUGGCGAAGACAGCCCCCUGGGCCAAUACUGACGCUCAUGCACGAAAGCGUGGGGAGCAAACAGGAUUAGAUACCCCCGUAGUCCCUGUCUCUUAUAC
RNAcentral lists this ribosomal RNA (301 nucleotides) under uncultured bacterium. RNAcentral's name for it is "partial 16S ribosomal RNA". It matches the Rfam family "Bacterial small subunit ribosomal RNA", at positions 509 to 807 of the family's 1533-position model. The record is from RNAcentral.